This is a non-coding RNA of Phrynosoma platyrhinos (Desert horned lizard), 73 nucleotides long. The record is from the annotation of a GenBank genome assembly. NCBI's taxonomy places the organism in Eukaryota, Metazoa, Chordata, Lepidosauria, Squamata, Phrynosomatidae.
AUCUAGAUGGUACAGUGGUUUGAACAUUGGACUAUGACUUUGGGAGACCAGGGUUCAAAUCCCUGCUUAGCCU